This 4809-nucleotide long non-coding RNA is filed under the name Homo sapiens (human). Its description in RNAcentral is "HSALNT0359372". The record is from RNAcentral. Lineage: Eukaryota; Metazoa; Chordata; Mammalia; Primates; Hominidae.
CACAUGUACCCUAAAACUUAAGGUAUAAUAAAAAAAGGGGAAAAAAAAUAAAAUUAUCUAAUAGGCUGGCACUCAUUAUGUGCCUCUGUUCCCAUUCUGCAGGUGGUGAAGCCCCCUAAUGUCCUGACUCCACAGUUCCUGUCCCAUGACCAGGGCCAGCUCACCAAAGAGCUAUAGCAGCACAUAAAGUCAGUGACAGGCCCAUGCAAGUACCAAAGGAAGGUGAGUGAGCACAGACAGAUGGGGCCUGGUGCCCUUGAGCAGUUUCUGACUUUCAGCUGCCCUGUGUCUCAUAGCGUGGCCAUGCUGGGGGAAGCUUAGGCAGUCACAGUACUGGCCUUUUCCUCCUUUUUCAUUCCAUCUGAGUGGCUUAGGGAUGGGGUGGAUGAAAACCACUGUCUUGUGUCAGAAACCCAAAAGGAAUCAUUGCUGGCAUGUUAAGCUAAAGAAAAACAACCAGACAAGUGCCCAACAGUACUUAAAAAGUUAUAAUCCUGCAAAAUUCAAAAAGGGAAAUCCAAAUAAGCAGCUUCUAAACUAUUUUUAAACAUUACAAUAAAAAUACCUUCCAUAUUGCAUAUAUAUGUGCUUAUAUGAAUAAUAGAAUUAACAAAACAUAGUUAUUUUAUAACAUGUAAUACAUUCUUAUUUUUAAUUCUCUUUCAUUUGUUUUAAAUGCUGUGUGCAAUCUACAAAAAGUUCAAUAGUAAUAAUUAAAUUAUUCAUUAAAUUGAGCAUUACUUGUAAUUUAAAAUGAUAAUCUUAAACACAAUCUUAUUUUUGAGAUAAAAAUAUUUUAGCAAUAUACUAUUAAGAGAAAAACACUGGCUAUGAAAGAAUUUACAUAGUUUCAUCCUAUCUGUUUGAAAAUAAAGUUUGGAAGAAUACAUUUGAAAAAUAGUUAACAUUUCCUUUUUUGUAGUACUUUGCGGCAUUGUCUAAAUAUUGACAGUCAAUACACAUUAUGAAGUUACAUGGUUAACGUUGAUUGAGUACUCACUGUGUGUGCCAGGCCCUGGGCUCAGUGCUCUGUGUGCAUUUUUAUUUUAUUUAAUCCUCUCCACAAUGUGAGAUAGUAUAGCCAACUCAUGUUACAGAGGUGAAACAGGCUCAGAGAUUGAAAGUUAAAUGCCUGAGGUUGCAGUCAAUAAGAGGAAGAGCUGUAACUGAAACCUAUGUGUGUCUGACGAGCAGUUCAUGUUCUGAUGGUAGGCUAGUCUGCUUAACAGAGUGUGGAAUAGAUGGUGCAUGCAUACUAGGAUGGGCUAGAUACCACUGUGGGUCACAAACAGUCUUAAACAAUGGAGGUUGUUUUCCUGCUCAUGCUGCACGUCCAUCAUGGCUCUCCUGGGCCCUGUGCACCACAUCUUCUUAUCCUGCUGCCAGGGUAAAGGAGCAGCCUCCAUGUGGAACCUGUCAGGUGCUCUCGGAGAUAGAGAAGAGGGUGUCCAGUCUCAAUGGCUCCCAACUCUUCUGCCUCAAGGUGACAUGCUUCGCUUCCACUCACUUUUGGGUCAAAGCAAAUCACAUGGCUACACCCAACUUAAACGGCCCACGUGGAGAAGCUGAAAUACUCAGUGGACACCAUUAAGGCCACCAUAUGGUGUUAGCCUGUGUGGGAGACUGUGGAGGGGCAGAGGAGGAGAGUAGGGGAUUGGUAGGAAAUGACAGCAGGACUAAGUCACCACAGAUUUGCUUUAUCUUCAGCCAGGUGGAGUUUGUCCCAGAGCUGCCAAAAACCGUCACUGGCAAGAUUAAACGGGAACUUCAAGUUUGGUCAGAUGUAGUCAGCAGUGAACUCAGAAAUGACUGAAUGACAUUGAGUCAGUAAAUCCCUGACUGCCUCAGUUACCCCACAUGAUAGUGGUGAGGAUGGGAGCAUUGAAAGAGUUGAUUUGGAAGGAUAUCAGGAGUGUGAAAAUUCCAACAUUUUACUUCAAGUUAAAUCCAGGCACUAUCCUUCCUGCAAGUCCCCUGUUUCUUUCAGAUUGCACAGGUGAGAGUGCUCAGAUUAGGGCUGUAGGUUAUAAAAUAUUGGCUCCCACAUGAACAGUUCCCCUGUGUCGUGUUUGUAUUCUGAGCAUUUUUCUGUGCUAAACACUUCCCCAAAACAUCCUGGGUCCUGAUUCUUCCUCCUUGUUCUGUCAGUGCUGGGUGACGCAAGUGCCCAUUUUUUGGCCAGGACACAGAAGUCUCAGAGGGAUGCUCUGUGAGGCCCCAGGUGCCAGCCUCUGCCCUGCUGGAAUGUGAGGCAAGGGACAGGGCAUCUUCUGUGAGGGGGCAGUGGUCAGCCAGCUUGGUGACUAUGCUUGCUUAUCAGACCAUCCCACACCUGCCACCUCUGAUGAAUCUACUGCCUCUGUGCCUGCCUGUACUGCUGAUACAGGACUCACUCAGCUGUCCCCAGGCGUGCCCAGACUUUCAUUCCUAUCCAGAACCUAGGAGUCCUGCCCACUGGCCCUCCCUCAUCAGCAGUAAAUGAUGAUUUACUGCUGUUAUCAUCAUGACUGCCUUUAGCAUCUGAGAACUUUCCAGGGUGCCAGCUCUGGAAGGACAGAUGCCCUUGGGAGGUGCUGACACUCAGGUACACAGGUGCUCAACAGAUUUCUUCCUCCUGUCCUCAGACAGUCUUUGCAUGUAGCCAUUGGCACUCCCAUUGUAUGGAAGGAAACCAGCCCAGGGUCACACAGCUGGUCAGCAGCACAGCUGGUCUCAAAUCCAAGGUGCUUGGCCUUGCCUCCAUGAGGGACCUGCCUGUGAGGUUGACACUGGCUUUGGGGAGCCUUUCCUGGGCUGCAUAAAUAACCUACCCUGUUUGAGGCCCCAAACUCUGCUCAUAUUGCCCUCCUUUCCUUAUGUCUACUUGGGCUAUAAUCAAGGUGACCCCAGCAACCCUUCACGGACAUUAUGGUAAUCUGUGCCGUUCACUUUUGUGCAGAUCUGACUUCAACCCCCUCUUGGUCUCUCCUUUUACAAGCAAGACAACUGAAACUGGGGGUCUUUAUGCAGCCAAGACUGACCAUGAGGAACACUUGGAGCUCAGGAAGGAAAGAUCAGCCCAGAAGCAGGGACAGGGAGCUGGUUGGGGAGGAUGAGAAGUCAGAAGGGGGCCCUGAGAAAACCAGGACAUGCGGGUCCAGUGGCUGCUGUUUUGGCUCCUCCUGCUUGGGUUUCCCAGCCAUCAAUCCACCCAUCUGGCACAGGAUUGACUCCUGGUGGAACCCAACUCAGUGAUCUGUGCAGUGUGGUGUUUUCCAAACUGGCCAAGGUGUCUGCAGGGCCCUCAGAAUUUUCCAAGCAAGAAAAGAUUUGGCUACUUGGAGAAACUUCAUCCUUCUGGAGGUUUGGACUAGUGGUAAACUCCUGUGAUUCUAAAGCAUUCCAUAGCAGAAUCCACUGAUGAUGACAAACUGAACCUUGGUGUUCCUGGAUUAGUGGGAGGUGGUGAAAGGAUUCUGUGGUAGUUCAGGUGUUCACAGCUCUCUUGCUUUUGACAGAAUUUCUUAAGUAUUUUUUUAAAAAGAAUUUAAAAAUUUAAAGCGAAUUACCAUAUCAUCUAGCAAUUCUACUUGUGGGUACAUACCUGAAAGAAAUGCAAGUAACUUAUCAUAGAGAUAUAUCCACACCCCUGUUCAUAGCAGCACUAUUCACAAUAUCCAAAAAGUAGAAACAUCACAAGUGACCACUGAGGAAGUAAUGUGGUGCAAAUAUACAAUGGAAGAUUAUUUAUCCUUAAAAGAAAGUAAAUUUUGACACAUGCUAUGCCAUGAAUGAAAUUUAAAGAUAUUAAUGCAAAGUGAAAUAAGACAGCCACAAUCAUACAAAAUACUAUGUGACUGGCUUAUCUAAGGUACCUAGAAAUACACAAGUUCAUAGAUAUAGAAAAUUUCUAUGGGUUGUUAUAUGGGGGGUAGUCAGGAAUAGGAGGAAAUUGAGGAUGGGUAGUUACUGUUUAAUGAUACAAAGUUCAGUUUUGCAAGAUGAAAAGAGUUCUUGAGACAGUGAUGUUUGUUGCAUAAUAAUUUGAAUGUAAUUAUGGAUGCUAAAAUAUACACUCUAAAUGAUCAAUAUAGUUAAUUUUGUUAUGUAUAUAUUAUCACAAUUAAUAAAAUAUCAUUUGUGUCUUAAAAAAAGUAUUACUUGUAUUAUCUAGACAUUAAAAUAGAAUGAGAAUACUUAGUGUUUAUUGAACAAAGCUACCCUGACAACUAUAGUAAAAUGAAGAUGCAAAAGAGCAUAAGGGAAGCCAUUCAUGGGGCAUGUAUUGGUGAAAAGCUGUGCCCUCAAAUACUUCACUCCUUGCAAUUCCUUUUUAUAGGCAUCACCUCCAGAAUCUACUUGAAGUGGAUGACACUGACUUCCAUGAACUGUUUUCCUGUGAGUAAUUUCUCCAUUUUAGACAGAGUUAUCCAUGGGAAGGUGAGUCUGAUCAAGCUGCUUGACCAUGAUCAGAACAAUUUGCUUCCCCAUUGCAUCAUCAAACUUUAAUUUAAAAAGCCCCACUUUCUGUCCGUCCCCAUAGCUCCUCCCUCACCCACCAAAAUGAGUCACUUGGGGCAGUGGUGGGCAGAUGAUUUCAGAUAUCCUGAUCUCAAUUCCCUGAUGUCAGUACGUCUGCACAUUCUUUGUUUUUUUUUUUUCAACUUUUAAGUUCUGGAGUACACAUACAGGAUAUGCAGGUUUGUUACAUAAGUAAACAUGUGCCAUCGUGGUUUGCUGCAAAGAUCAUAGCAUUACCUAGGUAUUAAGCCCAGCAUCCAUUAGUUAUUCCUCUUGAAGCUCUCCCUCCCCCAGCUCCCUGCUCCAAGA